RNAcentral lists this long non-coding RNA (2157 nucleotides) under Sus scrofa (pig). RNAcentral's name for it is "lncRNA (ENSSSCG00035034412.1)". Lineage: Eukaryota; Metazoa; Chordata; Mammalia; Artiodactyla; Suidae. The record is from RNAcentral.
GCCGCCUUCAGCACCAAAAAGAGCGUUAUUGUUUCAGUUUGUCUCACCGCCCUUGAACAAACACAGAGAGACGCUGCUGCUUCUCAUCGACCCAGUGGAGCGUAUGGAAACGGGAAAAUUCUUCUACGGGACAAGUGCGAGCUUUCGAGGGAAACGGAGCCUCCAGCCGUCUCACCACCCGCGCCAACACUGACCACAUCUGGGGAGCACGCGCCUUUGUGUUCGCCUUAUCGGGGAAGGGUUAGGGCCACUGGGAGCUAACACAACUGAUGAAAGACCAGAAGCGCAGGCUUAGGUCAGCAGGAAUCAAGGAAACGCUGUGGGUCAAGACGCAGGAAGGAGGAACACCGGCCACCUCCUUUGACCGGGACAGAGGUCAGGACGGCAUCAGUGACACACAACGGCUAUUGCCACGAAGAGAACUGGCUCUGGCAGAAUGGAAGGCCACGGCGGAGAGCGUCUGACGCCCCACUGACGCAGCCAGGAGAUGGAACUAGCGCUGCCCCUUCGGACCAAGUUACCGCUCUGAGAGCUACCCUGGAGGGUCUCUAAAGCCUGGCCGGCACACGGCCACACCCUUAUCUAGGGCUGUCGCUGCUUCUGCAUUCCAGCGACAGACCCGAGGAGUUGGGACAGAAACGGUAGGCGGCCCUCAGUGGCCAGAGGGCCACCCGGCCACUUACAGAGAAAGGGUGCCUGCCCUUGGCAGCGGUUUAAGGACACAACCCCCGGUACCGAUCUCUGUCCGGUCACUUACGAAUUCCGUGACUCCGGGAAGGUCACACGCUCCGUGGGUGCCACGGUUUCUUCUCUGUAAAGCGCAGUAACAGUGGUGAUGAGAGGUUGUUGCCAGGAUGAAAUGAGUUGAUACCUGGGAAGUGCGGGACCAAGGAGGUCAUCUGUGCAGAGGCCCAGGCGGUGACCUUGUGUUUUGGACUCUUGGCCGGAAGAAUUCUUGACCUGACACUGUCCCGGGCAGCAGACUUUCGGUCCGACACCCGAGUGGAGGCGUCCACGGUCAGACGGCCGAACGCACCGAGAGCUGCGGGGAUCCGGAGGGACCGGGGGAGGACGGAACCGGAUCAGCCAAGGCCCCGCUGGGAACAAACGUGCCGACUGUACAGGGGACGACUUGGAGAGCUAAGCCUGCGUGCGGCCAGCCCCUCCACAGGGAGACGGAUGUGGGUUUCAGCUUUGUUUGUUUGUUUGUUUGUUUGCUGCUAUUGAAGAACAAAAAGAAGAGGAGCCGGUUUCUUUUCUCCUCCUUGACCGACCCAUCCCUGCAAGAGGACAGGGUUUCUUUCUUUUCUUUUUUUCUUUUUCUUUUUUUUUGCUCACGCUCACAGCACGGGGAAGAUCCUGGGCCAGGGAUUGAACCCAAAGCCACAGCAGCAACCCGGGCCACUGCAGUGACAACGCCGGAUCCUUAACCCACCGUGGCCACAAGGGCAUUCCAAGGACAAGACUUCUGAUUCAUGGAGUCUUGAAAAGAAGCUGAAGGUGGAAGCAGUUCUCCCAAGAUGGGAGAGGGUUUGGAAGACCUGAGGGGACCCCGAAGACAGGACACCCAUUUUAAUACAAAGCAUCAGCUGCCACACCAACGGGAGCUCCAUCUCAGGCCAUGUUAGUAGAAGCAGGUCUUGUAGAAAGAGGGAGGUGAUCUCCUUCCACCUCCUCUGGCCAGCCCUGGUCUACUGUGGGCAACCCGAGAGCGGUGCGGGCACAGCGAUGGUACGCCCACCCCUUCCUAUCAGUUAUGCCGGGUUUUCUCCACCCUCAGCAUCCCUGAUCCGAGGAGCGGCUGAUAAAGGCCCGUAGUUCUGGUCUUUCAAACCUCCGCAAUUAUGCAGAAUUUACCCCUCUCCCCUGGUGAAAGUGGGCCUGGGGGAUGAGUCCGGCUGCAGGUCAAGAAUUCUACUUUAUCAGCAGCUACAAAAACAUUAACCUGAUCCCCGGGGGCGAAGUGUAGCUGGUUCAGCAGCUCCUGGAGUCGCCUGGCCUUAGGAGAGCCUGUGUCUCCCAGUGGCCUCAGAGAUUGGGUGGCCCCUCGCAGGGUCUCCAAGGACCCGGCCGUGUGCUUACAGCCUGGUUUCCCACCCUCAUCUCCCCUUUACACAUGUACGAUUCUGCCAAAAGAGAGCACGGUCCAGCUUUUUC